AGAGAGAGAGAGAGAGAAAAGACCCAGCUCAUGUGUCUAUUUCCUCUGAUAUUCUCCGAUCUAGGCACAUCCCAAACUUGCCUUCUUUUGUGUGUCUUUUGUGCAUAUCUCAUUCUGUACUCCGUCUAGCUUUAGCAUUUUUUCGUAAAUCCAGCACUGAUUCAUAUUUUCUCAGGAAGCUGAGUAUUUUUUCUCAGAGGACAAGCUAAUCAGAGAAGGGAGGAUGGCUCUUUGGUUAAUGUUAUGAGAGUAACCAUAUUCUCUUUCUAGGAUCCAAAUAGUCCCUCAAAAUUAAUUUGUGAUGUUUACCUUUAUUAUAUCAUUCAGCAUACUAUAGUUCUGUUACAUAUAUGCAUUUACUCUCUUGUUAUGCUAUCAGUUUCUAAGGAAAUAAGAGUUUUUCAUGAUCUUUUUUGAAAAUGUUUGACACAGUGCCUGGGAAGUAAUAUGUUCAAUAAAGGUUUGGUAAAAGAGGAACAGGUAUUAAAAAGGAAAUUUUAUUUAUUUUAAAUAAGCUUUGAAAAAAGUUGGAAUUUUGAAACAGGUUGUAUAAGUCAUAAUUUGGAGAGGACCUCCUGCAUGCAUGUGUGAACUAUCAGAAAUAAAUAGAAGUAAAAAAAUUCUAUAAUUCUGUAAAUGCUUAUUAGACACCUACCAUAUGCCAGGAAUUAUUCCUGAACUAUAGAAUUGUGGAUGAGAGAGACAGUUCCAGAUCUGAGAAUUUGAAUUCUAGCAAAGAAGAUAUUACUAGGGAGUAAACAGAAAGAAUUUAAAUUAAUUUUCCAACACAGUCCUAGUUUUUUGAGAAGUCCUGUGCUCAAGUUAAGUAUGAAAUCAGUUAUUGCUGUGGCCAUUAUUAAUAAGCACUUAAGCUAAAAUGUGCUUUAAUAUCAUGGCCAAUUUCUAAUUUGUUGGAUUACUUGUCUCAAGAAAUUUUAGCCAAAUGAAGCUGCCACUUCAUUACUAGGCAAAACCUUCUCUUUAUCUCUUUGUACAUGUGUAAAUGUAUGUGUGUGUGUAGAUGUGUAUGUUUUUAAAAGAAACUGUUUUUAAAAUUAGAGUUGUUAUAUAAUUGAAGAUUUUAGAAGGCAAAUGAUUACUUGCUGAUGACAAAUUUACAUAGGAUAUUAUAGACUGUUAAAUUUAAAUAUAUUUAGUAUUUACUCAUCCCAGAAACCACCUUUUUUGAGAAUAAAAUAAUUUUGUAAUAGUACUACAUUAUUAAAUUUAAUCUGUAUUUCUUCAGCUAUCUUAUUGGUUAUAUUGGCAAUGCUACUCAGGUUUUUUGUUUUUCUUUAAAAAACAUUGCUGAGAAGCUUUAAUGAGCUAAUUUCUGUAAAGCUCUUUACACAGUGACUUUUACAUAGUAAAUGUUCACUAAAUGGUAGCCAUUAUUGUUAAGUAUGUAUUUGUAAGCAUAUAAUAUAUGGCCGUGGCCAGUGUGGCUCAGUUGGUUGGAGCUUCGUCUCUGGCACCAAAAGGUUGUGGGUUCGAUUCCCAGUCAGGGCACAUACCCAGGUUUUGGGUUUGGUCUUUGGGGCACGUAUCAAAGACAACCAAUUUGUGUUUGUCUAUCACAUCAAUGUUUUUCUCUCUCUAAAAAAAAAUAAAAUAAAUUUAAAAAUGCUAAAGAAUGCUAAUUUAUUAUUGCAAAAUUAAUUUUUUUGUACUAUUGGUGAUUUGUGGGGUGGGGGUAGGAAUUCAGUAAAAGCAAUAUCUUUAAAUUUCAUUUAUGUAAUGCUGUACUGUAUUCAGAAUUCUUUCCUAUAUGUCCUUCCAUUUGCUCAUCAAACCACCCUACAUGGAGGAAAGGAAGAUGGUCAUAUCAUCACAGUUUAGUGUUAGAACCCAGGUUGAGAAUCAGGUUGUUUUGACUCAUUGAUCUUUUCACCCUUCCGUCUCUGAUAAACAGGUUUAUAAAACAAUCCUGUUUGGGUAAAAGGUUUCUUUGCUUACUCCUCUUUCCUUCAAUAUUAGAUACAGGGCCAGCAUACUUUGAUAGAAAGAUUAGCAUUCUCUGGGGUAUCAAGUUUUACUCAAGGAUUUAAUGAAACGUUAGUUUUUGUUUUGUUUUGAAAGACAUAUUGACCUUAAAUAUUCAUCUUUUAUAGGUUGUAAUUUUACUGGUAUUACAAGUGCAUAAAAAUGUCAUAAUGACUUUGUAAAUUAUUCAUUUAAUAAAUAUUGAACACCUACAAUGUCUUUGUUUAUUGACUUUCAUGUUUGUUAAAAUCUCUACCCCCCCAUUUAAUUUAAUUUAAUUUAAUUGUUGCCAGUAUUACAGAUGUCUUCCAAUAUAAUAUUUACUCCUCCUUUACCUCCCUCCUCCCAGCCUGCCCCCCCCCCCCAGGCCUUCACCACACCAUUGUUUGUGUCCAUUGUUUAUGCAUAUAUGUAUUAAGUUCUUUGAGGGGGUUGCGAGAGAGAUUGAGAGAAUUUCAGAGCUGGAAGGAACUUUUCAAGAGCUUUCAUAAUAUUUAGUCAUUUCUUGAGACAGCUAGUUUUUAUUACUUGAAACCUUAAUGAUAAAGUGGUAAGAUAGUCUUCAGAGGGAAGAUCCUGAGGGGUUUCAGGUACAGAUGUUUGCAUUAAAACUUUUGAAAUGGUUUGAGUCCACUAUUGUUUGAAAACCUUCCUUGGUUAGGAUUUUCAGCUCAGUUUGGAGUAUUCUUGUUGUGGUAUUGUCUUAGAGAACUGCCAGGCAACAUAUAGCAAUCUACUGGGUUUGGUCUUUACUAUUUGUUGGAACUCAUGGCUCUGGCCUCGCAUCCUUUGACAGGUAAGAAACAAGCCUGGAAAGAUUGUAAUUUGUUCGAGGUCACUAACUAAUUAGUGUCAGAUUCAGGUAUUUGCAUUUCCAGUUCUUUUUAUUACCUAGCCAUGGUAGCAUUUAAAUUUGUUGGCAAGUUAACUUCAUAAGGAUUUCUUGUAAAUUUCAUUAUAUCUAGAUCUAGUGUUGUACAACUUGAUAACUUCUAACACUAAACCUAUUACUUAAUAUAAUAACAACUUAUGUUAAAAUCUGGGCUAGCAUUAUAAUGAAUGAAGAACAAAGUACUAUCAGUUAUUUUCCCUAUGUUAACAAAUAUAUAUGUUUUCAUUCAUUUUUAUUGCUGGCUAACAUUCCAUUCACAGUUAUUUGACCACUUUAUUGUUGAUAGGCUUGGUGUAGUUGAAGUAUAAAUAUUAACAAACUUCAUUUUGUUGUCUUUUAUAGUAGCAUUUAUUGUGCUGUGUAUCUUGUCUUCUUUGAUAUCGUAGUAUUUCUUAGAACAAUCCCAAUAAAUAUUAUUUCCCCUUUUAUGUGUGAUAUAAAUAAUAAGGGUCACUAAUAGUGUAAUUAAUAACCAAUUUGAUUAUAUAUGUAUAUAUGAAUGUGCAUGUAUGAUACAAAGUUUUUACAGCUCCAGGUGCAUCUGCAGAGUAGGCAAAGUUGUUUUGGUCUUUGUCUUUUUCCAUCCCUUUUUGCUAUUUAUCUUUUGUUCCCCUAAGGCCCAAAAUCUCCUCACCAAUGUUCAUUUCUAGCCUACAUCCUAAAAUGUUCUGAUUCUUGCCUGGCUGGUGUGGCUCUCAGUCGUUGAGCAUCGACCCAUGAACCAGGAGCACAUGGUUCCUUUCCUGGUCAGUGCACAUGCCCAAGUUGUAGGCUUGAUCCCUGUAGGGGGCAUGCAGGAGGCAGCCAAUCAAUGUUUCUUUCUAAUUGCUGUUUCUGUGUCUCUAUCCUUUCCCUUCCUUUCUCUCUAAAAUUAAUUUUAACAUUUAAAAAUGUUCUGAUUUGUUUAUUUUCUUCUCUAGUAGCUCUCUUUGCUAGAAACUCUUUUCUGCUUAAUAAAGUAAUCUGAGUAAAGUAAUUCAUUCAAAUGUGAAUGUAAAUAAAAGUGAGCAUGGUUGGUAGCGUUUUUUCCUUAAGAUAAUUCUGAUUACAAAAGCAUUACAUGCUCAUUGAAGAUAAUAAAAGAAUGAAGAAGUAUAAGGAGGAAAGUAGGAAUGUCCACCACCCUAUAUAAUAAAAGGCUAAUAUGCAAAUAGACCAAACUGCGGAACAAUCGGACAGCUGGUUGCUAUGACGUGCGCUGACUACCAGGGGGCGCACGCAGAACGUGGCAGAUGUCAGCAGCAGGUGGCAGAGUGCCGAACAUGGCAGGUGUUGGCCGCAGUGGGAUGGUGGAGCAGAUAUUAGCAUUUAAAAGUGGAAGUUGAGGUAUCUGUUUGGAAGAAUGGGGGAAAGGAGGAGACUUCCAAAUUGGUGGCCUUCUCUGACUUCCCCUGACUGCUUUCACCUUGCCUGAUCCUCUAUGCUCCAGUGUGUUUUACAGACACUAAUCCUAGGGAAUGCUCUUUGAAAACAAGACAUCAAGAAAGUUUGAAAAUAUUGUAUGUAAUUUUCAUGGAGUUUAAUAAAAGUUUUUUAGAAGAA
Molecule: long non-coding RNA, 4417 nt
Organism: Myotis daubentonii (Daubenton's bat)
Lineage: Eukaryota; Metazoa; Chordata; Mammalia; Chiroptera; Vespertilionidae
Source: RefSeq, a predicted model, not a curated record